GACGAACGCUGGCGGCGUGCUUAACACAUGCAAGCCGAACGGUAAGGCCCUUCGGGGUACACGAGUGGCGAACGGGUGAGUAACACGUGGGUGAUCUGCCCUGCACUUCGGGAUAAGCCUGGGAAACUGGGUCUAAUACCGGCUAGGACUCGGGACUGCAUGGUCUGGGGUGGAAAGCUUCUGCGGUGUGGGAUGGGACCGCGGCCUAUCCGCUUGUUGGUGGGGUGAUGGCCUACCAAGGCGACGACGGGUAGCCGGCCUGAAAGGGUGGCCGGCCACACUUGGACUGAGAUACGGCCCAGACUCCUACGGGAGGCGGCAGUGGGAAAUAUUGCACAAUGGUCGCAAGCCUGAUGCAGCGACGCCGCGUGAGGGAUGACGGCCUUCGGGGUGUAAACCUCUUUCAGCAUCGACGAAGCGAAAGUGACGGUAGGUGCAGAAGAAGGACCGGCCAACUACGUGCCAGCCGCCGCAGUAA
Molecule: ribosomal RNA, 478 nt
Filed under: uncultured bacterium
Lineage: Bacteria
Description: partial 16S ribosomal RNA
Rfam family: Bacterial small subunit ribosomal RNA
Source: RNAcentral